RNAcentral lists this ribosomal RNA (465 nucleotides) under uncultured bacterium. Its description in RNAcentral is "partial 16S ribosomal RNA". It matches the Rfam family "Bacterial small subunit ribosomal RNA", at positions 28 to 507 of the family's 1533-position model. The record is from RNAcentral.
GACGAACGCUGGCGGCGUGCUUAACACAUGCAAGUCGAACGGAAAGGCCCUGCUUGCAGGGUACUCGAGUGGCGAACGGGUGAGUAACACGUGGGUUAUCUGCCCUGCACUUCGGGAUAAGCCUGGGAAACUGGGUCUAAUACCGGAUAGGAGCCAUUUUUAGUGUGAUGGUUGGAAAGUUUUUUCGGUGUAGGAUGAGCUCGCGGCCUAUCAGCUUGUUGGUGGGGUAAUGGCCUACCAAGGCGGCGACGGGUAGCCGGCCUGAGAGGGUGGACAGCCACAUUGGGACUGAGAUACGGCCCAGACUCCUACGGGAGGCAGCAGUGGGGAAUAUGGCACAAUGGGCGCAAGCCUGAGGCAGCGACGCCGCGUGGGGGAUGACGGCCUUCGGGUUGGAAACUCCUUUCGCUAGGGACGAAGCUUUUUGUGACGGUACCUAGAUAAGAAGCACCGGCUAACUACGUG